GUAGGUGGCAAGCGUUGUCCGGAAUUAUUGGGCGUAAAGCGCGCGCAGGUGGUUCUUUAAGUCUGAUGUGAAAGCCCCCGGCUCAACCGGGGAGGGUCAUUGGAAACUGGGGAACUUGAGUGCAGGAGAGGAGAGUGGAAUUCCACGUGUAGCGGUGAAAUGCGUAGAUAUGUGGAGGAACACCAGUGGCGAAGGCGACUUUCUGGCCUGUAACUGACACUGAGGCGCGAAAGCGUGGGGAGCAAACAGGGAUUAGAUACCCUGGUAGUCACGCCGUAAACGAUGAGUGCUAAGUGUUGGGGGGGUUUCCCGCCCCUCAGUGCUGCAGCUAACGCAUUAAGCACUCCGCCUGGGGAGUACGGUCGCAAGACUG
This 373-nucleotide ribosomal RNA is filed under the name uncultured organism. RNAcentral's name for it is "partial 16S ribosomal RNA". It matches the Rfam family "Bacterial small subunit ribosomal RNA", at positions 527 to 896 of the family's 1533-position model. The record is from RNAcentral.